GACGAACGCUGGCGGCGUGCCUAAUACAUGCAAGUAGAACGCACAGUUUAUACCGUAGCUUGCUACACCAUACACUGUGAGUUGCGAACGGGUGAGUAACCCGUAGGUAACCUGCCUGGUAGCGGGGGAUAACUAUUGGAAACGAUAGCUAAUACCGCAUAAUAUUGAUUAUUGCAUGAUAAUUGAUUGAAUGAUGCUAUUGCAUCACUACCAGAUGGUCCUCUUGUGUAUUAGUUAGUAGGUGAGGUAACGGCACACCUACGCUAAGGUGCAUACCCGAGCUGAAAGGGAGAAUCAGCAGCCUGGGACUGAGACACGGCCCAAGAACCUACGGGAAGCAAGCGUAGGGGAUCUUCGGCAAUGGACGGAAGGCUGGACGAGGCACGCCGCGUUGGUGGAGAAGGUCUUCGGAUCGUAAAGCUCUGUUGUUCGGGAAGAACGGGUGUCAGGGUAGUAAGUUCACGCUCUGACGGUACCUUACCAAAAAGAGACGGCUAACUACGUG
Molecule: ribosomal RNA, 505 nt
Filed under: uncultured bacterium
Lineage: Bacteria
Description: partial 16S ribosomal RNA
Rfam family: Bacterial small subunit ribosomal RNA
Source: RNAcentral